RNAcentral lists this ribosomal RNA (249 nucleotides) under uncultured Brachybacterium sp. RNAcentral describes it as "partial 16S ribosomal RNA". It matches the Rfam family "Bacterial small subunit ribosomal RNA", at positions 355 to 616 of the family's 1533-position model. The record is from RNAcentral. Lineage: Bacteria; Bacillati; Actinomycetota; Actinomycetes; Micrococcales; Dermabacteraceae.
UGGGGAAUAUUGCACAAUGGGCGCAAGCCUGAUGCAGCGACGCCGCGUGAGGGAUGACGGCCUUCGGGUUGUAAACCUCUUUCAGUAGGGAAGAAGCGAAAGUGACGGUACCUGCAGAAGAAGCGCCGGCUAACUACGUGCCAGCAGCCGCGGUAAUACGUAGGGUGCAAGCGUUGUCCGGAAUUAUUGGGCGUAAAGAGCUCGUGGGCGGUUUGUCGGGUCGGCGGUGAAAAUCCGAGGCUCAACCUC